AUGCCAAAGGACAGGAGCUCCCGUUCAGUCUCGCACGAGGGCUGCCGAUCUCGUGUCUCCCCAUACAAGUUGCGGAGUGGUUCUCGCAGGUCAGAGGAAGCCGCUGCUGCCACCGCUGCUGCAGCAGCAAAGCAGGCUGCAGAAUGGGAGGAGGUUCGCUGUCCUGUGUGCAUGGAUCACCCUCAUAAUGCUGUUAUGCUUGUCUGCUCGUCACAUGAGAAAGGUUGCCGCCCUUUCAUUUGCGACACAAGCUACAGACACUCCAAUUGCCUUGAUCAGUACCGCAAAGCCUCCAAGGAGUCCUCUAAGGAUUCAGGGGCAGCAGAAUGCGCUGAGUGCCAGCAGCCAGUUAAACUGGCAUGUCCAUUAUGCCGUGGGCCGGUCAGCCAUUGGACUAAGGAUUAUGAUGCACGGAAGUUCAUGAAUUCUAAGGAUCGAGCAUGCACCAUGGAGUCAUGUGAGUUCAAGGGUGCAUACAACCAGUUGAGGAAGCACGCAAGGGAGGAUCAUCCUGCUGUACGACCAACGGAGGUGGACCCCAAUCGACAGCGAGACUGGCAUAGGAUGGAGCAGCAGCGUGAUCUUGGGGAUUUGUUCAGCAUGCUGCGUUCGGGGAUCAGUGGCAGAGAAGAUGGGGUUGGAGUCGGUGAAGGUGACGAGGGCGUCAGUGAGAGAUCUUUGCACGCCACGUCCAUAACGAUGGUCUUCAUUGUGCGGUCAGGCAGGUCCAUCCUACACUACACAGACGGGGAAAUCCCAGGUCGUCGAUCAAGAACAAUUCUUCUAGUUGGGGAGCCUCGUGGUGAAGCCUCCCGAGCAGGAGGAUCAAGCGGCAAUGGUGAUGCUGAGGCCACUACAACCGACAAUGAGGAAACGGACCUGGCAAUGUCAACACAGGCAUCUGCUGGUUCUCAGGAAGAUGCUGGAGAAGCCGGUGGCGAUCCUGCGCAGUGA
Molecule: ribosomal RNA, 954 nt
Filed under: Triticum aestivum (bread wheat)
Lineage: Eukaryota; Viridiplantae; Streptophyta; Magnoliopsida; Poales; Poaceae
Description: partial small subunit ribosomal RNA
Source: RNAcentral